AAUACAUAAUUAGUCAAAUAAAAGUGAAUUAUCAAUUCAGUUAUUUUAUGUAUAAAUUUUUUAAAGGAAAGUCUAGAAAUAAAGAAGGUAUUUACAAACUAAAAAAAAGAUAUCAGUUUUCUUCUUUUCCAUUUUGUUAUUUUAUUAAAUGCUCCAAAUGUUCUACUUUAUAAAGAAAUCAUGUAAAAUAAGAAUAAACUGAAUAUAUACUUACUGUAGGAAUGUAAAAGGGGCCAAGCAAACUCGGUGACUACAUAGCAAACCAAAUUAACAAUGUUGUAUUUGUUGAUCUAACAUAACGUUAACCACUUGUAAGUCUUAAUUUCACAUUUUUUUUCAAACAUUAGUAAACAUAGAAAAGAUUCAUGUCAGACACAAAUCAAAUUCAGACAAACCAUCAGGUCUCAACGCCACAGUUAUUGAACCCAUCUGUAUGUGGCAUGUGUGUGAAUGUAUUUUGUGUGACGUGUGCUAAAUUCUGAGAGUGUACAGUAGACGGCACACUCACUCCACAUUAGCUGCUGAGAACUCAAAUGACAAAACCCGCUCAUGACACAACAGCAAAGCAAACUCUUUGACCGAGCAGUGACCAGCCCAAAUGCAUCAUUGUUUAUUUAGUUCAUUCUUUAACACAAACAAACACACAUACCCCUCCUGUGGCUUUAGCUUUUAUUUGAUCCAGCUAACCAACAUUUCCCCAUGAUGUUCUAUGAAGCCGGUCGAACACUGAUACACACGUAUAAAAAAAUGUGUGUAUGAUUGUAUUAAUGUGUGUAUGUGUGUUUGUAUGUAAUGGAAGAGAGGGGGCUGGCUUCACAAUAGUGCUUUGAAUCAAUUUGUGCCAUCGGCUGGAUCAUUACUGAAAUAACAGUCUUGUUGAUGGAGAUGUAUUUAGUUUAGUCAGUGAUGCACGACAUGCAUUAUUGAACUAAUCAAAACCAAAUGAUAUUCAUAUCAUAAGCACAGGGGCUACUGGAGACAAUAAGGCCUGUAAUUCUUCAUGGGCUAAUUGUUUAAGUCAUUUAUCAAGGAAGUCAAAUUGUAUUUAGUUAUUUUUUGAUAUAAAUGAAUUGUUUUGGUUACUUUUUUAAUGGAUUUGCUAAAUGAAUACAUGUAAAUUUUUAAAAGCAAGGUCUCUGUUUAUAUCAAAAUAUUUUGACAAUUUAUAAAUGAAUGAAUAAAGGAACGCAUUUAACAUUUAUUAAUUUAGCAGACGCUUUUAUCCAAAUGAGA
Cyprinus carpio carpio is the source of this 1233-nucleotide long non-coding RNA. The record is from Ensembl. Lineage: Eukaryota; Metazoa; Chordata; Actinopteri; Cypriniformes; Cyprinidae.